CUAUUUAAUACAUAAGUGGACCCAAAAGUGAUCCAAAUUAACCAAAAACUCAAUUUUGUCCGCUUUGGCAUCUGCUUAAGAAGAUGGGGCGCACCUUGGGAGCGGAUGCUACUGUUUUGACUUGCUCAAGCAGGUCAAGUGCACCUGGGGCGCAGGUCCUACUAAAAGGGACUUUUUACCCCUGAUUUGCACUCCUUUGACCCCUCUAAGGCCCUUUGGUCCUUCUUGUAUGAUUUGGGCACUCUAAAAUACUUUUUAAAUGGUAUCUAGAUGGUUUGGAACAGAUCUAACUCCUUCAAUAUCAUGAGAGUUUUUGUAGUCCUUGGGCUUGCCUUCUUGUUGAGGUUUUAGGAUAAAUUCAGCUUCUGGCUCCAAGCUAUCCUCCACACAUGGUGUUGAGCUCUUGAGAGCUUGAAAAUGGUUCCCCAAACAUAUCUUUGCCUACCAUAGAUGACCAUGGCUUGGGUACUUUAUGUCGGCCUUGGAUUGUAGUCCUUGAAAGUUUGAUGUCGAUUUGGCUUGUAUCACCUGAUAUAACUUUAAUUUGUCUUUGCAAUCGUACUUGAAUUUCCAUCUCUAUGUACUCAUCAGAGUAAUGACGGAUCGAUAUGCAUUCAUAUCAAUCUCUUCCUCGUCUCUCUCUCUCUCUCUCUGCAAUCGUACUUGAAUUACUCUUGUCCACAGCCGCUGCUGCCUUGAGAUUUU
Molecule: long non-coding RNA, 705 nt
Filed under: Capsicum annuum
Lineage: Eukaryota; Viridiplantae; Streptophyta; Magnoliopsida; Solanales; Solanaceae
Description: long non-coding RNA (CANN_LNC003346)
Source: RNAcentral